Molecule: long non-coding RNA, 1316 nt
Filed under: Naja naja (Indian cobra)
Lineage: Eukaryota; Metazoa; Chordata; Lepidosauria; Squamata; Elapidae
Description: lncRNA (ENSNNAG00000013189.1)
Source: RNAcentral
CCGAAAAAAAAAGCAAUGUAGGGACCAUUUUUCACGACCAAAACAUCCAAAUUUAGACGUUUGGCAACUUGCUCAUAUUUAUGACACCCACAGUGUCCCGGAGUCACACGAUUGCCUUAUUACGACCUUCUGACAGGCAAAGCCAACGGGGAAGCUGGACUUCACUUAACAACUGGUUCACUUAACGACCGUGGAAAAAAAAGUCAUAAAAUCGGACGCGGCUCGCUUAACAAACGCCUUGCUUAGAAGGGCGAAAAUUCUGCUCCCCGUUUUGGUCGUAAGCCGAGGUGCGCCUGUACCCGUAGGUGCCAAUCCGAGGCCCUUUUUUAACCACAUUAUCUAGGGUGAUCGCCGUUCCGCCCCCCGCUUUGUUCUACAAAGGAGGGGGAAACCCCCCCAAGUCCUCUGCGUCAGUCGCUCACUCCUUCGCUCAUAAUUUCCAGUCCGUCUUUCACCUCCAUUGCAAACUGAGCCUUUGAAUCUAUUUGCAUAAAAGGCGGGGUGUGGGUUUUUUUUUUCUCAUUCCCUUUUUUUUUUUUUCAAGAAAAUAUACUGGCUGUUCAGCAAAAUUCACCAAAAUCACAUUCUUAAGACAAAAAAACCCCCUCCAUCACGUUUAUUUCCCUCUUAACCUUCUUUAUAACCUUCCUCCGCACGCUUAAAAAAGCGGCCGAAUUUUUCGCCGCAAAUUCGACCUUCCCAAAAAAUGAAGGAAUGACGUUUUUUUGAUCAACCUCACCCACCCCUUAAUUUAUUUUGUUUUAUUUUCUCUUUCCCCAACUUUUUCAAGAGUUUCCCGCUGGAUCCCUUCGCUUGAAAAAAAGAAGUUGCACUUUUAUUUUGUGUGUGUGUGUGUGCUUUUUUUUUUUUUAAGAAAAAUUGCAUUUCCUUCCUGCCGUACGGACUUGAAAAUUUGCCUCUGCGGAUGGAAAAACUGCCAGGUUAAUUCUCAACUAGGCACCAGGUUGACUAAGCGGAGACUCAGCUGCCUUCAUUCCAAAAAGGUAGGUGAGAUGUUUUCCGUCACUUCUUGCUUUGAGUCUUGUCGGGGGCUUUCUGCCUCGUUCUAGCAGGAGCCUUGAGGAUGGGAGUCUCAGUGAUGGGUGGGCUCCACUGUUGGUUGGGUUUCUUCCCUGUUCCCCAUCUGCCCCAAUUUAAUUGAGGGUCUCCUUUGUAAAAAGAUCUGAAAGCCAACCUCUCUUAAAAAUCUUGGUAAAACUUUUAAAAAACUUUAAAAGAAUUAAAACCCUUUUUCAAAACCCUUUUAAUCAAACUUGAAACUUUAAAACCCUUUAAAACUUUUUAAGAACCUUUAC